RNAcentral lists this ribosomal RNA (464 nucleotides) under uncultured bacterium. RNAcentral describes it as "partial 16S ribosomal RNA". It matches the Rfam family "Bacterial small subunit ribosomal RNA", at positions 28 to 506 of the family's 1533-position model. The record is from RNAcentral.
GAUGAACGCUGGCGGCGUGCUUAACACAUGCAAGUCGAACGGAAAGGCUCCUGCUUGCCGGGGUACUCGAGUGGCGAACGGGUGAGUAACACGUGGGUGAUCUGCCCUGCACUUCGGGAUAAGCCUGGGAAACUGGGUCUAAUACCGGAUAGGACGAUGGUUUGGAUGCCAUUGUGGAAAGUUUUUCGGUGUGGGAUGAGCUCGCGGCCUAUCAGCUUGUUGGUGGGGUAAUGGCCUACCAAGGCGUCGACGGGUAGCCGGCCUGAGAGGGUGUACGGCCACAUUGGGACUGAGAUACGGCCCAGACUCCUACGGGAGGCAGCAGUGGGGAAUAUUGCACAAUGGGCGCAAGCCUGAUGCAGCGACGCCGCGUGGGGGAUGACGGCCUUCGGGUGGUAAACUCCUUUCGCUAGGGACGAAGCGCAAGUGACGGUACCUGGAGAAGAAGCACCGGCUAACUACGU